AACACGUUUAUUGAUGGAAGCAGUGGAGAAAGGACUAGAGGUUGGAAAGGAAAGACUCCAAAGUUGCCUGGAGAAAUUAUCCUGAGGAAAAACAAGAUCCAGACAUUUCCGAAAGGGAGGAGUCGGGGGAGGGCAAGGAGGGUUGAAGAUUAGGCAACACUGUGUCGGAAUCAUACAAAUUUGAAAACCGCAACCAAAAACCAGUGCUUUGUGGUGGGGUUUGUUUUUUCCAUUUUAAAUUGCAAGAUAAACAUGGAAGUUUCCGAGGUUCACAAUCUUAGAUUCUAAAGGAAGCAAUAAAAGAGAGAUGCCAGCAGUAAAAGGUCAUCAUACAAAAUUGAGCUGCAUUCACCCCUUCUUCAGUGCACCUUCCCUCCCACCAUUGGUUCUAGAUUCCCGGGCCCAGGAGUUGGAAGCCUUAAUGCUUUCAUUGUGGAAUUUGGGCCACUAGGGGCACACUGUGACCUCAUCAACACGGACAUGGUUCUGGAUUAUGCUACUAAGCCACCCUUGGAGCUGCUGCCGUAGAGAGAGAACUCUGGACUACAGAGACCAGGCAUCUGACCCCUGCGGUAUUUCCUAGACUUUAUGUGUAAUAAGGAAGGAAACGCCAAAUUCCCUGGGUCAGACUCAGAUUUCUUCCAUUUCUGAGUCCAUAACUGAAAACAGUUUCCCUGCAUCCUUCACUGCAUAAAGAAGAGUUUUUUAACAGGCCUGUUUCGCUUCCAAAAAUCCAUUCUGUGAUGGAAACCGUGGGGGCUCAGAAGAUCCAAUGCCAGGAGAAAGUCCAGGGGAAAUGCAAGGCUCGCUCUUGGAAAGCCACAGACAAUCACAGGGCCAUGAAGGACACUUGACACACUUGUCAGCUAUCUGACCCAGGAAGAUGAUUUUAUAUCCUUUUUCUCUGAAGGCAUACCGAGAAGGAUUUAUGUGAUGAUCCUUGGUCCUUCUGCCUCCAACUAGAAUGCAAGCUCAAGAGGAAGUGUGCCUUGCUCAUCAGUCUACCUUAAAACCUAGAAGGGUGCUUGCCACCUAAUAAGUGCUCAACAAGGGUUUGUAGAAUGAAUAAAUAACCACCUUCAGCCUAUCACUUUGGGCUUUGAUAAGGAUAACUGAUGCUUCUUAAUUUUAUGUAAAGCAUUAUGCAAAACAUGGUUUCAAAACAAUUAAAAAGACUCCCUCGCUCUCCAAUAUACCUUUCAAAUUGGAUUUGUGCCUGAAAAUCCUCUUACAGAGAAAUUUAGAGCCACCGUUGUUUAGGCCGUUUAUUCCAACCGAUCCAUGAAUCCCCUUUAUUGGCCAUCUUGCCAGUUAUCAUUCAGCUUUUGCUUGGAUACCUCUAGAAACAGAGAGCUCAUU
Molecule: long non-coding RNA, 1359 nt
Organism: Equus caballus (horse)
Lineage: Eukaryota; Metazoa; Chordata; Mammalia; Perissodactyla; Equidae
Source: RefSeq, a predicted model, not a curated record